RNAcentral lists this ribosomal RNA (274 nucleotides) under uncultured bacterium. RNAcentral's name for it is "partial 16S ribosomal RNA". It matches the Rfam family "Bacterial small subunit ribosomal RNA", at positions 523 to 796 of the family's 1533-position model. The record is from RNAcentral.
AGACGAACCGUCCAAACGUUAUUCGGUAUCACUGGGCUUAAAGAGUUCGUAGGCGGCCUAGUAGGUGAGAUGUGAAAUCCCACGGCUCAACCGUGGAACUGCGUUUCAAACCACUAGGCUUGAGGGAGAUAGAGGUGAGCGGAACAGAUGGUGGAGCGGUGAAAUGCGUUGAUAUCAUCUGGAACACCGGUGGCGAAAGCGGCUCACUGGAUCUCUUCUGACGCUGAGGAACGAAAGCUAGGGUAGCGAACGGGAUUAGAAACCCUAGUAGUCC